Molecule: long non-coding RNA, 2388 nt
Filed under: Nicotiana benthamiana
Lineage: Eukaryota; Viridiplantae; Streptophyta; Magnoliopsida; Solanales; Solanaceae
Description: long non-coding RNA (NBEN_LNC010850)
Source: RNAcentral
AAUUCAUUUGGUGAAAACCAAAGUAUUUCCCCAGCAAAGAAAGUUAGCCCAGAAACGAAAUGAGGCAAAAACACUGAGUUUGGGAUUUUUAGUCAAAGGGCGGUUACCUCUCUGUUUAGCCAAUGAUUUUCCUUUUCAACUGUUUUUUUUUAAAACAAAAAUCAACAACCCUUGAACAAAUUGAAAUAUACUACUAUACGAUCAUUUCUUCAGGAUCAAUCAACAACAACAGCCAGAUCUCUCUUUCUCUGUCUCUGUUUCUGUGAUUUUAGUUCCUCUUUUUUGAUACAUUAACGAUUGAGGCAGUGAUGAUAUUUUAUCCGGAUUCUGGGCUAACUGGAUCGGGCAUAUCGACUAUCCGACCCGUAACUUGGCUUGGCAAAUCACCGGACGGUUAGCUGCCGAUUUGGAGGCUUUUUCUAUGGAAUCGGACCCGGUGACUUUGCAGCCAUGGCGCGGUCGCCUCUCUUUUGCCCGACCUCUCUUUGCAGAUCUGAGCCUUGUAAGUACUGUGAAAUAGAAAAGUCUGAAACUUGGAGCUUGUUUGGCUAAGCUUAUAAGCUUGUUAAAUUGGCUUAUAACCACUUUUUGACUUUAUGUACGGAUUUGGCAAGGGCUUAUAAGCCAAAAAUAAGCUAUAAGCCAACUCUUGUUAUAUCCUAUUCUUUAGCUUCUUAUUAUUAAUUUCAGCACAUUUUAAAGCUUUUUUGUACCUAACGUUAUCAGUUACUCUAAACGGGCUCUUAUUCUUUUUUUGAAUUUCAACUAUUUUUUGCUACUAAGCAUGGAAUCAAGUUAUACGUCAGUGGGCAAAACAAGAAUUGUUGAUGCUUUAAAUGGUUCUCUUUGACGCGAAGCAGGAAACUAAAAUAUCAGAGACAAAGAAUGAGGUAGCAGAGAGUAGAGGAAAGUUCAAGGGCAGCUGCUCCUCUGAGCUACAAUACCUAUGAGUUCAUUUUUGCCAUAAAUGCCCUUCUGCAGUAAACUAUGUCACCACUCUACUCUAUCGCCAAAUCCUCACUCCCAAAAAGAGAAUCAAUAGAAGUAGUAACAAUACUCCCUCCGGUCCACAAUAAGUGUGUUUAAUUUUUGAUUUUGGUCCAAAAUAAGUGUCUUGUUAGGUAAUCAAGAAAAAAUUUAAUUUGUAAUUUGUUUUCUCUUUUACCCUUAUGCGCAUAUCCCUAAAAAAAUUUCUCUCUCGUCACAUUAGCUUACUAAAUAAGUGUAGUUUAGUUAUACUAGGUAAUUUUGUAUAGGAUUUAGUAUUUUCUUAAUGAUGUGUUAAAAGUAAAAUAGACAUUUAUUGUGAACCGGAUGGACUAUGGAGUAAUUAAUAAUAAUUGUAGCAAAAAUCUGAGGCUAUGAUGAUAGUUUUUAUUCGGUCUCUGAGCAAAUUGAUCAAGGCAGGAGAACAAUCGGACCUGUAACUUGGCGGGGCGACCCGGACGGUGACGACUUGCAACGGUGUUUGCAGCCAUGGCAGUGUCUCCAAUCUCUUGCCUCAGCCUUAAUAUUACGGAUCUGAGCCUCAAUUGGAAGGUUAUUAUCUUAAAUGCAGACAUAUGAGCUCUUUUCCGUUAAAUUUUGAAAUUCGCAGGUGAAAAACCCUCGAGAAUUUCCCCUAAAAAUGCAAUAAGGUUAACUGAGAAAGAAAUGAGGCAAAACAGAGAGUAUUGGGAUUUUCAUUAGAAGGGUGGUUGCCCCUCUCUGUUCGCCAUUGAUUUUCCUUCAUUUUUCAGGAAAAAAACCAACAGCUCUUGUUUAUGACAGAAGUAGACAGCGUUUGGACAUAAGAAUUGUGAAAUUUCAGAAAAAUGUAAUUUUUUUCCCAGUGAAAUCUGUGUUUACUGUGUGUGCGUGUGUGUUUAUGUUGCUGAUGGAAGUUACAUAAAGAGUGUGCAUGAUGAUGUUUCUUGUAUCUGGGCUGACCGAUCGGGGCAUAGAGAUGACCCAACCUCUAUCUUGGUGUGGCAACCCGGUAUGGCAUGUGAUUGAGAUUUCUGUCUCUCACUUGUAAUUGGUGUUUUGCAGCCAUGGCGUAGCUGACUUCUCUUUUCCUUAUAUAACACAUUCAUGAUAAGCCUACUAUAGCAUGGACCAAGUUGUAAAUAAAUACACACCUGGUUCUCUUUGACACAAAGCAGAAAACUAAAAGCUCAGAGACAGAAUGAGGGUUGCAGAGAGUAGAGUGAAGCUCAAGGGCAGCUGCUCCUCUCUGCCAUUCCUGUGAUUUCAUUUUUGCCAAAAGUGCCCUUCUGCAGUAUACUCUAACCAAACGACCCCUUAAGUAUUUCGAUUGGCUGUUACUGUUCUAUCUGCUUAUCAUCUCCAAAUCCUCACUCCAAAAAGAGAAUCAAUAGUAAUAAUAAUAAUAGUUGUAGCAAAAAC